GCGGCUGCCGCGAGUCGCGAGUGUGCUCAGCUCGUCCGCGCGGAAAGACGGCCAGUUUCUCCCUUCAAAUUGGCAGGGCAGUGGCCCUGAACACUUUCCCGAGUUCUCUGCCUCGUGCGAGAUCAACUCUAAGGAAGUAAAAUGCCCAAGGGACCAGCCAAGUUAGGGUGUUUCGUGUCGAAAGAUCAAACUAUACAAAACGCAGACAAUGUUUGCGUGCUCGUCGUCCACUACAACUUUAAGGACGCCAAGACCAAGCUAGAAGAAUCAACUCAG
This is a long non-coding RNA of Cloeon dipterum, 276 nucleotides long. RefSeq lists it as uncharacterized. NCBI's taxonomy places the organism in Eukaryota, Metazoa, Arthropoda, Insecta, Ephemeroptera, Baetidae. The record is from RefSeq and is a predicted model, not a curated record. The transcript has 3 exons.